Molecule: ribosomal RNA, 1445 nt
Filed under: uncultured organism
Description: SSU rRNA
Rfam family: Bacterial small subunit ribosomal RNA
Source: RNAcentral
AACGCUAUCUACAGGCUUAACACAUGCAAGUCGAGGGGCAGCAUGGUCUUAGCUUGCUAAGGCCGAUGGCGACCGGCGCACGGGUGAGUAACGCGUAUCCAACCUGCCUUACACUCUUGGACAGCCUUCUGAAAGGGAGAUUAAUACAAGAUGUUAUCAUGAGUAAGCAUUUUCGCAUGAUUAAAGGUUUACCGGUGUAAGAUGGGGAUGCGUUCCAUUAGAUAGUAGGCGGGGUAACGGCCCACCUAGUCUUCGAUGGAUAGGGGUUCUGAGAGGAAGGUCCCCCACAUUGGAACUGAGACACGGUCCAAACUCCUACGGGAGGCAGCAGUGAGGAAUAUUGGUCAAUGGACGAGAGUCUGAACCAGCCAAGUAGCGUGAAGGAUGAAGGUUCUAUGGAUUGUAAACUUCUUUUAUACGGGAAUAAACGGAUCCACGUGUGGAUUUUUGCAUGUACCGUAUGAAUAAGGAUCGGCUAACUCCGUGCCAGCAGCCGCGGUAAUACGGAGGAUCCGAGCGUUAUCCGGAUUUAUUGGGUUUAAAGGGAGCGUAGAUGGGUUGUUAAGUCAGUUGUGAAAGUUUGCGGCUCAACCGUAAAAUUGCAAUUGAUACUGGCAGUCUUGAGUACAGUUGAGGUAGGCGGAAUUCGUGGUGUAGCGGUGAAAUGCUUAGAUAUCACGAAGAACUCCGAUUGCGAAGGCAGCUUACUAACCUGUAACUGACAUUGAUGCUCGAAAGUGUGGGUAUCAAACAGGAUUAGAUACCCUGGUAGUCCACACGGUAAACGAUGAAUACUCGCUGUAGGCGAUAUACAGUCUGCGGCCAAGCGAAAGCAUUAAGUAUUCCACCUGGGGAGUACGCCGGCAACGGUGAAACUCAAAGGAAUUGACGGGGGCCCGCACAAGCGGAGGAACAUGUGGUUUAAUUCGAUGAUACGCGAGGAACCUUACCCGGGCUUAAAUUGCAACCGAAUAUGGCGGAAACGCUAUAGCUAGCAAUAGCGGUUGUGAAGGUGCUGCAUGGUUGUCGUCAGCUCGUGCCGUGAGGUGUCGGCUUAAGUGCCAUAACGAGCGCAACCCUUGCCGAUAGUUACUAACAGGUUAUGCUGAGGACUCUGUCGGGACUGCCAUCGUAAGAUGUGAGGAAGGUGGGGAUGACGUCAAAUCAGCACGGCCCUUACGUCCGGGGCUACACACGUGUUACAAUGGGGGGUACAGAGGGCUGCUACCACGCAAGUGGAUGCCAAUCCCAAAAACCUCUCUCAGUUCGGAUUGAAGUCUGCAACCCGACUUCAUGAAGCUGGAUUCGCUAGUAAUCGCGCAUCAGCCACGGCGCGGUGAAUACGUUCCCGGGCCUUGUACACACCGCCCGUCAAGCCAUGGGAGCCGGGGGUACCUGAAGUGCGUAACCGCAAGGAGCACCCUAGGGUAAAACUGGUGACUGGG